GAAGGUGCUCGCAAUAUCCCCUGGUGAACAUCCGCUAAGGAAAGCUUUUACCCAGUCUAGAACGCUGGGAGAAUAAGGAGAGGGCAAGUCUGGUGUCAGCCGUCCGCGGUAAUACCAGCUCUCCGAGUGGUGUGGAUGUUUAUUGGGCCUAAAGCAUCCGUAGCUUGCCAGGCAAGUCCCCUGUUAAAUCCACCGAAUCAAUCGUUGGAUUGCGGGGGAUACUGCCCGGCUAGGGGACGAGAGAGGCCGACGGUAUUCCCGGGGUAGGGGUGAAAUCCUAUAAUCCCGGGAGGACCACCAGUGGCGAAGGCUGUCGGCUAGAACGCGCCCGACGGUGAUGGAUGAAAGCUGGGGGAGCGAACCGGAUUAGAUACCCGGGUAGUCCCAGCUGUAAACGAUGCAGGCUAGGUGUUUGGGCGGCCACGUGCCGCUCUAGUGCCGCAGGGAAGCUGUUAAGCCUGCCGCCUGGGGAGUACGGUCGCAAGGCUGAAACUUAAAGGAAUUGGCG
This 508-nucleotide ribosomal RNA is filed under the name uncultured prokaryote. Its description in RNAcentral is "bacterial SSU rRNA". It matches the Rfam family "Archaeal small subunit ribosomal RNA", at positions 361 to 870 of the family's 1478-position model. The record is from RNAcentral.